UGGGCCCAUUUGGGGCAUUCCUCACACUCGUGAGUCGAGCGGUAGAGAGAAGCUUGCUUCUCUUGAGAGCGGCGGACGGGUGAGUAAUGCCUAGGAAUCUGCCUGGUAGUGGGGGAUAACGUUCGGAAACGAACGCUAAUACCGCAUACGUCCUACGGGAGAAAGCAGGGGACCUUCGGGCCUUGCGCUAUCAGAUGAGCCUAGGUCGGAUUAGCUAGUUGGUGAGGUAAUGGCUCACCAAGGCGACGAUCCGUAACUGGUCUGAGAGGAUGAUCAGUCACACUGGAACUGAGACACGGUCCAGACUCCUACGGGAGGCAGCAGUGGGGAAUAUUGGACAAUGGGCGAAAGCCUGAUCCAGCCAUGCCGCGUGUGUGAAGAAGGUCUUCGGAUUGUAAAGCACUUUAAGUUGGGAGGAAGGGCAUUAACCUAAUACGUUAGUGUUUUGACGUUACCGACAGAAUAAGCACCGGCUAACUCUGUGCCAGCAGCCGCGGUAAUACAGAGGGUGCAAGCGUUAAUCGGAAUUACUGGGCGUAAAGCGCGCGUAGGUGGUUUGUUAAGUUGGAUGUGAAAUCCCCGGGCUCAACCUGGGAACUGCAUUCAAAACUGACUGACUAGAGUAUGGUAGAGGGUGGUGGAAUUUCCUGUGUAGCGGUGAAAUGCGUAGAUAUAGGAAGGAACACCAGUGGCGAAGGCGACCACCUGGACUAAUACUGACACUGAGGUGCGAAAGCGUGGGGAGCAAACAGGAUUAGAUACCCUGGUAGUCCACGCCGUAAACGAUGUCAACUAGCCGUUGGAAGCCUUGAGCUUUUAGUGGCGCAGCUAACGCAUUAAGUUGACCGCCUGGGGAGUACGGCCGCAAGGUUAAAACUCAAAUGAAUUGACGGGGGCCCGCACAAGCGGUGGAGCAUGUGGGUUUAAUUCGAAGCAACGCGAAGAACCUUACCAGGGCCUUGACAUCCAAUGAACUUUCUAGAGAUAGAUUGGUGCCUUUCGGGAACAUUGAGACAGGUGCUGCAUGGCUGUCGUCAGCUCGUGUCGUGAGAUGUUGGGUUAAGUCCCGUAACGAGCGCAACCUUUGUCCUUUAGUUACAAGCACGUCAUGGUGGGCACUCUAAGGAGACUGCGUGACAACCGGAGAAGGUGGGGAUGACGUCAGUCAUCAUGCCCUUUACGACUGGGCUACCACACGGUGCUACAAUGAUCCGGAUC
Molecule: ribosomal RNA, 1218 nt
Filed under: Pseudomonas sp.
Lineage: Bacteria; Pseudomonadati; Pseudomonadota; Gammaproteobacteria; Pseudomonadales; Pseudomonadaceae
Description: bacterial SSU rRNA
Rfam family: Bacterial small subunit ribosomal RNA
Source: RNAcentral